This 148-nucleotide ribosomal RNA is filed under the name uncultured eukaryote. Its description in RNAcentral is "partial small subunit ribosomal RNA". It matches the Rfam family "Eukaryotic small subunit ribosomal RNA", at positions 1294 to 1461 of the family's 1831-position model. The record is from RNAcentral.
UUAGUUGGUGGAGUGAUUUGUCUGCUUAAUUGCGAUAACGAACGAGACCUUAACCUACUAAAUAGUUACGCGUACCUCCGGGUACGUGGCCAACUUCUUAGAGGGACUUUACAAGUCAAUUGUACGGAAGUUUGAGGCAAUAACAGGU